RNAcentral lists this ribosomal RNA (757 nucleotides) under uncultured bacterium. Its description in RNAcentral is "bacterial SSU rRNA". It matches the Rfam family "Bacterial small subunit ribosomal RNA", at positions 1 to 720 of the family's 1533-position model. The record is from RNAcentral.
CCGUUUNNNNNCCUAGUACAUUGCCCUUGAGUUGAUCAUGGCUCGAAUCACGCUGGCGGCGUGCCUAACACAUGCAAGUCGAACGCGACUUGGGGCUUCGGCUCCAAGUUGAGUGGCGAACGGGUGAGUAACACGUGGGUGAUCUACCUUCGAGUGGGGGAUAACGUCCCGAAAGGGACGCUAAUACCGCAUGACGUUCCGGGUUUAAAGACCUGGAAACCAAAGCCGGGGACCGCAAGGCCUGGCGCUUGAAGAGGAGCCCGCGUCCGAUUAGCUAGUUGGCGGGGUAAUGGCCCACCAAGGCGACGAUCGGUAGCCGGCCUGAGAGGGCGGACGGCCACACUGGAACUGAGACACGGUCCAGACUCCUACGGGAGGCAGCAGUGGGGAAUUGUUCACAAUGGGCGCAAGCCUGAUGACGCAACGCCGCGUGGGGGAUGAAGGUCUUCGGAUCGUAAACCCCUGUCGAAUGGGACGAAUAACCUCUGGGCUAAUCACCAGGGGAAUGACGGUACCGUUAAAGGAAGCCACGGCUAACUCUGUGCCAGCAGCCGCGGUAAUACAGAGGUGGCAAGCGUUGUUCGGAAUUACUGGGCGUAAAGGGCGCGUAGGCGGCCAUCUAAGUCAGACGUGAAAUCCCCCGGCUUAACCUGGGAACUGCGUCUGAUACUGGACGGCUUGAGUAUGGGAGAGGGAUGUAGAAUUCCAGGUGUAGCGGUGAAAUGCGUAGAUAUCUGGAGGAAUACCGGUGGCGAAG